This is a long non-coding RNA of Artibeus jamaicensis (Jamaican fruit-eating bat), 3778 nucleotides long. RefSeq lists it as uncharacterized. The record is from RefSeq and is a predicted model, not a curated record. NCBI's taxonomy places the organism in Eukaryota, Metazoa, Chordata, Mammalia, Chiroptera, Phyllostomidae. The transcript has 9 exons.
AACCGCGGGCCGCUGGCCCCAGUACAAGGGAGGCCACGUGGAGAGGCUGGCACCGGAGCCGGCCCUCGGGGAGGCAGAGAGAGCAGCUUCUGUGGGUUUUUGAAGUGACCACACGCCAGUGUUACACAAUGUGAUACGAUGGUGGGGGGGAGUAGUUUUUCUUGUUUUUCCAAAUUAAGGUACUGUUUCUUUGAAAAAUUAAUUAAAAAAUAAGUUUUUAGAGUGAAAAAUGAUCUGGAGCAAUUGGCCCACGAGCUGAUGAAAUCAGUGACAUGUGUGUUUUGCCAGGAGUUUCUAAUCUGCCAGUAGAUCCAAAGAACUGAGGUAAAUAAAAAACCAUGGACACUGGGGCAUUGCGAGACUCCAAGGAAAGGAAAGGAUCUCCUUCGGAUCCUGAUGGGUAUCGAUAAUUGUUCUUCAUCCGUGACAAUCCUGGUUCGACUGGAUCUUCUGUGACAUUUUUGAGAGAAUUGGAAAUUUUAUGAACUUUCCCUCAACAUGAGCUCUAGAAAUGUUUAAAAUAAACAAAUAAAUACCACUGAGCUACAGAAAUAAAAGACAACUGGUGAAAGGGGAACUUCUAUAAGGAAGACUGGACUGAAGUCAAGCAGAAAUCCUCGGAAAAGCCACAGAGGUGAAACCAGGGAAAGAGUCAUUUAUUGACUCAACAAGCCAGAUACCUACCACAUUGAAAACUUUGUGCUGGUUAGUGAAGACAUAAUAUUCGAUUACAGACACUCUUUCAAGGGCUUUUAAGUUCGGAAGUGACAUUGAAUCACACAUGGAUAACAAUAAUGUAAGGUAGGAAACCGGCCUCAUUAGAAACAGAGGAGAGAUAGAAGAGCUGCGAGGAUCAUGACUGGGAUGAAGGCACAGCUCCCAGUGAUCAGAAAUAUCGGGAAAUGUCCUGGGAGACAAAGGCACAACGAAAGCUCACUGCAAGAAGCCAGGUGAAGGUGCUGAAAGACAGACCCAAACCAGAGAGUAAAUGUACUUAUUCUGGGCCACUUACAACUAUUUAGGACCAACCCGGAGCCACACCGGCGUCUCAGGGCCCUCUCUGAUCUCCCUGUGCACCUCAGACCCAGUCCGCCAUCCUGGGAUCCUGAAUUGUACUGUGAUGGAUGGCCAUGUUACCUACAUGGACGCCCACACAUUGCUGGGUUUCCUCUGAAUAAUUCAUUCCGAACAGAGUACCUCAAGGGAAGUAUGUCUUUCAUGGAUCCUCAGAAACAAGAAUUAAAUAAAUGGAAAGGGGUCUUGAAACUGGCUCUCCCACAGGACUAAGGAAGACCAGCUCUGCUAAGGAAGGGGCUCUCACGGGACACUAGCAGUCAUAUUUGCUGGUGAAAGUUUACAAGACCACACUGUACUGAAUAAUGUGAGUGAAGAAGUAAACACUAAUAGAUUGGAUGUGCUGUUUACAAAAAAUGCAUUAAAAAAGUGAUAGACUUCUCAUGCCAGUCAAGAUGUUGUAAGACUACCACAGCCUCUCUCUUCCACUGAUUCCAAAUGGACACCUGGAUGGACUACAAAAGGCAAAAAAGCAACUCUCUGAAGAAUCUGAGAAAUAGCAGACCGAUGGGGAAGAACAUGAAGAAUGACCAAUGAAAGAAGAAAAACUGCAUCAUCAUCUCAGUAGACGCAGAAAAGCAUUUGACAAAUCGAACAUACAUUCAUGAUGAAAACUCUCAGCAAAAUGGGAAUAGAAGAAAAUGUUCUUAACCUCAUAAAGAGCAAGAUAAGGACUCCAGCGUGCAAGAGAGAAACCAACCUAAAAGACGAAGCCAGGGAUGAGGACUGCAGAGUGCGGAGAAGGAGGGAAAGGGUCCUUGAUGAGCCACUGUUUAUACUGUCCCGGGGCCUGUCCCGCCUCUGAAGUUACACUGAUGUGAGAUCAUCAGCCAGGGUUCUCGGAAGUUUUCAUUGAAUGCAUAAAGGAUAGAGGAGUAAUAGUCGUGUUUAACCAACAUGGAACAGCAUUUGAUCUUUUGUGGCGUCCUGUUCCUUUCGUUACCUGGUGUCAUUCCUGCGAUAACCUGUGGGGCUUCUCUGGCCCUUAUUAAAUGUAAGUUUUCACAAUGGGGGGAAAGGCCUUCAAGAAAACACUUUGUGGUUAAAGAUGUGUCCCACAUGUGCGAGGCUGGCAGUUCAGAGGCCCAGAGACGCCACUCCGCGCCCUCACGGAGCUGCAGUGAGUCCUGACGGCGGCGCUCGGGUGAGCGGGGCUGGAGCAGGCAGGGUCGGCGUUCAGGUUCCCGGCUGAGAGCGACGCUUAUUUCUUUGAGGUCUGAUGUUACAUGGAAAUCCAGGACAAAAUCUGGUAUGCACAGCCUUGAAACAUUAUAUCAAAAUUUGGCUUUUAUCGUGUUUUUUUUUUUUUUUAAGAAAUUUAAAAGGGUAGGGAGAGUGAUUUGUUUCUGACAACUCUGGCAAGGCUUUCGCUAAGUAUACUUUCAGAGCAGCAAUUCCCUAGCUGACAGAGACCUGCGCAUGACCUCGAAUAUCUACAGCCUGAGAAAUGUUACGUGGAGCUGGAGCCGAUUUCAGGCAGGCAUUUCAGGUCCUGAUGAACAGACCGAGGUACCGCUGGACUUUCGACUGUCAGUGCUUUUUUCCAAAAGGCUGGGCCUGACGCAGGACUCGGGCCCCUGAGAAGGAUCCAAACUACAGGAUUGACAUCACCAAAGAACGGAAAUAGCCUUUCAAUUUUUCCAAACUCACAGUCCCUGCUUAUCUUAACCUGACUCCAGCACCUCCUGACCUGGAAGGUGUUUCCAAGCCCCUCAUCCCUAAGGAAUUAUUCACUCAUGCUUCUCUUGGAUCUUUGUGUUUUUAUUAUGUCCGUGAUCCCCUUCUGUCCUGCCUCUUAAUCCCCACCGCCGGGAACAGGAGGCUGUGCUCUCUACUCUGUGUCCUCAAAGUCAUCUUUCAUUCUUUCCUCCACACUCACUGUAUCUCAUUAAUAGUUAACUCUUCCUGUUCCUCUCUUCUCGAUAGCUCCUGAGACCAUUUACUUCUUCAUAUUUCCACUGCCUUAACUGAGUCCAGGCCACCUCCAGGUCUUGCUUUUAUCAUCACAACAAUCAAAUAGGUUUUCCUGGCUCAAGUCCUGCCCCCUGUCUCCCUCCCCUCAUCCAUAUACAAGUUCUGUCUGGAAAAAGUCCGACCAUUGUUAAUAUAAUGAGAUCAGUUGGGUGUGAUAUCAAUGUAACCUGGCCACCAAAAAGAGUAGACUGGAAUGCACACAUGUGAACAAUGACAACUUCACUGUACUAGUCAGUGGGGGUGGUAGAUGCUGUUGAGUGAGCAUGUGUACUGUGUGGCCAUCACAUUCAAAAUAACUGAGCACAACAAUGAAUCUGCAUCAAAUUUUGUGUUAAGCUUGAACAUCCCUCCAUGGAAACUCUUUGGAUGAUUCAGAAGGCUGCAGCUCUGGGCAACUGGUGACCGGAAGCUUCAUCACAACAACAUGUCCACUCAUACACCACUUCUCAUGUUGAGUUUUUUUGGUGAAACAUCAAAUCGCCCAGGUGACUCAGCCCCACUAUAGCCCUGACUUGGUAUCUGUGACUUCUGGCUUCUCCCAAAGCCGAAAUCAUCUUAGAGAAGAGAUUUCAGACUAUUGAUGAGAUUCGGGAGAAUAUGAUGGGGCAGCUGAUGGCAACUGGGAGAACUGUGUGAGGUCCCCAGGUGCUUACUUUGAAGAGGACUGAGGCAUCAUUGUCCUACGUACAAUGUUUCUUGUAUAUCUUAUCUUCUUCAAUAAAUGUCUCCA